GACGAACGCUGGCGGCGUGCUUAACACAUGCAAGUCGAACGGUAAGGCCCUUUCGGGGGUACACGAGUGGCGCACGGGUGAGUAACACGUGGGUGAUCUGCCCUGCACUUUGGGAUAAGCCUGGGAAACUGGGUCUAAUACCGGAUAGGACUACGCGAUGCAUGUCGUGUGGUGGAAAGCUUUUGCGGUGUGGGAUGGGCCCGCGGCCUAUCAGCUUGUUGGUGGGGUGAUGGCCUACCAAGGCGACGACGGGUAGCCGGCCUGAGAGGGUGUCCGGCCACACUGGGACUGAGAUACGGCCCAGACUCCUACGGGAGGCAGCAGUGGGGAAUAUUGCACAAUGGGCGCAAGCCUGAUGCAGCGACGCCGCGUGGGGGAUGACGGCCUUCGGGUUGUAAACCCCUUUCAGCACAGACGAAGCGUAAGUGACGGUAGGUGCAGAAGAAGCACCGGCCAACUACGUG
RNAcentral lists this ribosomal RNA (464 nucleotides) under uncultured bacterium. Its description in RNAcentral is "partial 16S ribosomal RNA". It matches the Rfam family "Bacterial small subunit ribosomal RNA", at positions 28 to 507 of the family's 1533-position model. The record is from RNAcentral.